UUUUCUUCCCCUCUCUCUUCUUCUUCUCCUCGUUUUCUUUAGUUCGUGUUUUCAUCAUUUGUCGGAACUUUGUCUGAGAAUUCGAACAAAAAUGAAAGGGAAAAAGGGAAACUGAAACAAGGUAAAAGGCUGCCAUCAACUCCUCAGUGUUGUUAAACAAAAUGUGACGUAACUUUGCAUCAGGAAAAAACAAUUACUAGGAACUUUGUGCCGACAUUGGCACUGGGUCUGGAAGGACGACAGUUUCCCGAAAAAUCAUAAAAAGCGCGUCCUUGAAAUUUGUGCACGCGUUUUUUACUUUGAAAUAUUUUGACUGGUAGAUGUAUCGCCAGAGUGAUUGAGAAUCGGGACAGGAUAAGAGCAGUGUGUAAUUACAGUCGUCCUUCGAAUUAUUCGUCACUAUCGUCAGUGCUUUUUAGUAGCUGGGAUAACCAAGCAGCAGAAAGAGAAAAGAAAAUUGAAAAACAAUCGGAUUGAAGCAGAAUUGCAACAAAUUCCGAGCGCAGUUAUAAUUCGACUGGUGCAAAGGAGGGACCGCAGGGGCUCCGAUUAGACGGUGGCUAGUCCUCGGCAACACAACAUUGGAAUUUGCCGAAAUCUUUAUUAAAAAUUCCCCUUUUGGGAUUCUAGAUGUUGUAUUGUAGGGGUUUUCGCAUAGAAAGCUUUUCCAACCUUCGGGCCGUUCAAUAGCAACUGGAAAAACCUGGCCGUGGCAAAUGUGUGGAGGGACCAAGGAGACGAGCGUGUCUCGGUAAAUGUGAAGAAAAUCGUUUCUGCUCUUGGCGCCGUAAAUUUGCCCAAUCCAUAAAUUCUUGUGAUGAUGACUCAUUUAACUUUGAACGGGAUCGACGGGUCUUCUUGCCCCCCAAAGCGAGCGGUUUCAACUUGCUCAGUCCGACUGUUUUGCAUUUUUACGAUUAAGGCGAAAGCCAUUCUGUAAUAGGAAAAUUUAAUUAAACGUCUCACGAUAUUUCAGUAUGGUGCAGGGCGGUCAAAUUUUCGCACCUCAUUCCGACGGACUUCAAACAGGGUCUGUAAUCGCGGGUCUUCAAUCCCGACUGCAAUCUAUUGAACUCGGGCAUACUCGAUUGGGUGUUGUUGAUUACAACAAAAGAAAUCGGAGCGUAUGCCCCAAUUGAAAACCCUAAUAGUGCCCCUUUCUACCAUGCUUACCUUGAUUUUUACCCCGAUUCCUCACCUGAAACUUGGUAAUUGUUUACUGCCCCUUACGACGAAUUCAUGUUUUCCAAUGAGAUACAAGGUAAAAAAAACAACCAAAACAAGCUGACAUUUUUCCUGUAAGGAUGCUAAACUUUUAAGUAUGAAAGUUCAACAUCGUCCUAGAGACCUAGACUCCUAGCUGCCAUAUCCUUUCUUUUAAGAGGCAACAAAAGUGACGAAAAUACAAGCGACAACAGUGUCAUCGCGCGGUGGAAAAACAAAGCUUGUACUCGCCGCCUGUUGAUCAUGGAAGAGAACCUAUAUAAGGCCAUGCACCGAUGUUUCAGGUCUUUUCAUUGCUAGAUAUUGACGAUGGUGGUCGUAAGUAUUGGCGUAGUCGAAUUUUAAUUUUUUAAUAUUGUAGUGGAGUUUUUGUUGCUUGUAGUUAACCAUUACUUGAAUGUGCUGAUAAAAAUUAUUAUUUCCCCUUCUCUUUGAAACGUAUUUUUACUAAUGAAUUUUUGAAUGAUGGCCCAUGAAAAGGCGCUGCUGUGUUUUAGGUGAUGUGGUAGUCGAUAUUAAAUUAUUUGGAAUCAAGCGAAUAGUAUAUUUGUUGUAUGCAUUAUUAAAUAAUGUGGAUAAUUGUUAAAAAGUAGGGUGACCAUGGAUAACUUUGCAUUUCAACAGAUUUUUUUUCUGCUGGCACAUGCUGUCAAUGAGGCAACGUUUAAUGAAUUACAGCUACUGUGAGUACAUAAUUUAUAAUGUUAAAGUAUGAUGAUUAAGUCUGUUUUCUAGGAUUAACACCUUAUUGUAUUAGAAGUAAUAUGUUUUACCUAAUCUGUACUACAUGGUUUGACAUGGUAUUCUAAUAUGAUUUAUUUAAAAAACUUGUUGGACCACUAUAUGAUGGCAAAGUAGCCUGGUGAUAUGCUCCUUACAUGGUAACGUACCAUUUAGCAUACAUAUCUUUUCAGUGUAUGUUUUAAAGCAGUCUAAAGAAUGUAUAAUUGGUUUAAGUUUUCAUCCUUGAACAAUAAGUGUUACUGUAAUUAUUGUUCUAUACACCUGUUUUCUUUUAAGUUGGAAGAAGGCAUGCUUAGGGAAGCUCUUCUUUUUCACUCUGGUUUUCUGAUGAAGAUACAUCCUGUUGCUGCAUGGACCAUUGUUUUUGUUUAUUAUUACUGUGUUACUGUGUGUUGACUCAUUACAGUCAUGAUGUUGCAUUGCAUUUGUCUCUUUGAUGUGGUUGGAAUUUCUGUUCCUGUUAGGAAAGAAAACUGUUGAGGUUAUGGCUUAAUUCCAAGUUCCAUUUACAAGUUUGUAUCUUUAGGGUUAGUAUUGGGUGAUUGAUGACAUAUGUGUGGCAGGAUGACUGAAAAACUUCCCUAGCAUAUGGACAGGGUACAUGGUGUUUGGUUGUUAUCCUGACCAUGUUGUACUCUGUGGUGGCCGAUUUAUGGUGGUGUUUUAAUAGAAUUUUGUCAAUCAAUAUGGUAUAUUGCUGAUUAAUAGUAACAUUUUUCUUUUUUGGGGGUUUUUUUAGUUAGUAGAAUUGUCAUCCGACGAUUGUGUUUCGGUUCUGAUCGAAAUUUCUACGGCCAACCGAGGGAUUUUAUAUGGUAAAUUUGGUAUAAAUUUUUUGGUGUUAAUUUGCUUAUUUCCUUCUACAGUACAAAGCGCCGUCUAUUUCAUUCUGCAUUCGCCACAGUUGAAACGCUGAAAAUGACGUCACAGAUAACGAAAUCUAACCAUAUUGAAAAUUGGAAGGAGAUUUUUUUUUCUCAUGUUAAUUCAUUUUUAUAAAUUCAACAGUGCAUCUGUCAUUUUCUGUGGCUUUGUUUCACCUUUAUUUGUGAUAAAUCUGUGAGAUAGUCGUUAGAAAACUUGGAAGUGAUAAUCGUUAUGUGGGCACGGAAAUUAUCAUUCCAUUUCCAUGUUAUCAGUGGGUUAUUGGUUUUCAAGAUUUUUACGUCGAAACUUAUUCUUAAAAGUUGUCAAAUUUCUUUUCCACGUUCUUUUUGCAAUACCACGAUUAUUUCUGAUGACGGAUCUUUCGACUGAAAUUGUUUUGCCCACACUAAUUGAUAAUGAUUUUUAAAUGAACAUUUGAGUUGACAAUAUAAAGCCUGAAAUUGAA
Molecule: long non-coding RNA, 3301 nt
Filed under: Daphnia magna
Lineage: Eukaryota; Metazoa; Arthropoda; Branchiopoda; Diplostraca; Daphniidae
Description: uncharacterized LOC116920404, transcript variant X3
Source: RNAcentral